GAUGAACGCUGGCGGCGUGCCUAAUACAUGCAAGUAGAACGCUGAAGGAGGAGCUUGCUCUUCUGGAUGAGUUGCGAACGGGUGAGUAACGCGUAGGUAACCUGCCUGGUAGCGGGGGAUAACUAUUGGAAACGAUAGCUAAUACCGCAUGACAACAGUUAUUGCAUGAUAACUGUUUAAAAGGGGCAACUGCUCCACUACCAGAUGGACCUGCGUUGUAUUAGCUAGUUGGUGAGGUAACGGCUCACCAAGGCGACGAUACAUAGCCGACCUGAGAGGGUGAUCGGCCACACUGGGACUGAGACACGCCCCAGACUCCUACGGGAGGCAGCAGUAGGGAAUCUUCGGCAAUGGACGGAAGUCUGACCGAGCAACGCCGCGUGAGUGAAGAAGGUUUUCGGAUCGUAAAGCUCUGUUGUAAGAGAAGAACGAGUGUGAGAGUGGAAAGUUCACACUGUGACGGUAUCUUACCAGAAAGGGACGGCUAACUACGUG
Molecule: ribosomal RNA, 495 nt
Filed under: uncultured bacterium
Lineage: Bacteria
Description: partial 16S ribosomal RNA
Rfam family: Bacterial small subunit ribosomal RNA
Source: RNAcentral